RNAcentral lists this ribosomal RNA (253 nucleotides) under uncultured bacterium. RNAcentral's name for it is "partial 16S ribosomal RNA". It matches the Rfam family "Bacterial small subunit ribosomal RNA", at positions 524 to 776 of the family's 1533-position model. The record is from RNAcentral.
UACGUAGGGGGCAAGCGUUGUCCGGAUUUAUUGGGCGUAAAGAGCGUGUAGGCGGCCAGGUAGGUCUGCUGUGAAAACUCGAGGCUUAACCUCGAGCUGUCGGCGGAAACCAUCUGGCUAGAGUCCGGAAGAGGAGAAUGGAAUUCCCGGUGUAGCGGUGAAAUGCGCAGAUAUCGGGAAGAACACCCGUGGCGAACGCGGUUCUCUGGGACGGUACUGACGCUGAGACGCGAAAGCGUGGGGAGCGAACAGG